RNAcentral lists this long non-coding RNA (999 nucleotides) under Numida meleagris (helmeted guineafowl). RNAcentral's name for it is "lncRNA (ENSNMEG00000013707.1)". The record is from RNAcentral. Lineage: Eukaryota; Metazoa; Chordata; Aves; Galliformes; Numididae.
GUAGAUGUUUUCGAGUUGGAGGCAGUAGAUAUUGGGACUCUGCAAGAUAUAGUGGUUGAGAAAGGGAAAGGCUCCGACUGGCUUCUGGAGAAGAUUAUUGUGAAAGAGUUAGCAACUGCUGGGACAGAAACAUUGUUUAUGGCUCAAACAUGGCUAAAAGACAGACGUGAUGGGAAAAGAUCUGCCUCAGUAACUCUGAAUGCCACAGAAAUUCGAGAGAGGAGGAGUGCUUCUGCCUAUCCUCAAGGAAAAGAGCAAAUGAAUUCAGAAGGCAGAUGGAGGAUUUAUUUCACAAAGCAUCAAGAUGAAACAAAAAAAGACUUUGAAAAGUUGUCAGAAAAUAUAUCCAAGUUGGUUAUGGUUUUUUAUGGAAGCAACGGCAAGUCAAAUCCGGUUUCCAUGGAAAACAAAGUGGAACAUCAGGCUAAGAACCAAAUAACAUACGAUAUACAUUUACCAUCUGAUUUGGGUAUGGUUUAUAAAGUAAGACUUGGACUCCAGAGUUUGGAAAGCAGCAUAUCACAGUUGUCUCUUCAUCACUUUAAAAUGCAGAACACAUCAACCCUGGAUACCUUUAGUCUCACUAUAAAUAAAACACUUCCUCUUUCUCUUAAUGGAGACAGAUGGAUUGAAUUCCCUGUAGAGUGGCCAUUAAAAGAAGCACUUUCUGUGGUUACGUAUCACCUAACCGUAUUUUCUAGAAAUAUUUUGACUGACAGAAGUGUAGUGAAUAUGACUGCGUGUAUAUAUGGUACUCAUGGUGACACAGGGGACAGAUCUCUUCUCUGGUCAUUGCAGAAUAUCCAGCAGGAAGAUGAUAGUGAGUCAUUUCUUGUUAUCAUGGAUGCUGUUGAACUGGGAGAAGUGGACAAAGUUGUUCUCAUAAUCAGCAGCAAGAAAGGUAACAUACUUUUGUUGCUCUCUAAAGUUAGUGAUGUGAAAUACACAGCUUACCUUCUGUUAAAGGCAAUGCAAUCACUGCCACAGUUGCCAGAUUAA